CAGCAGCCACGGUAACACGAAGGGGGCUAGCGUUGCUCGGAAUUACUGGGCGUAAAGGGAGCGUAGGCGGACAUUUAAGUCAGGGGUGAAAUCCCAGAGCUCAACUCUGGAACUGCCUUUGAUACUGGGUGUCUUGAGUGUGAUAGAGGUAUGUGGAACUCCGAGUGUAGAGGUGAAAUUCGUAGAUAUUCGGAAGAACACCAGUGGCGAAGGCGACAUACUGGAUCAUUACUGACGCUGAGGCUCGAAAGCGUGGGGAGCAAACAGGAUUAGAUACCCCCGUAGUCCCUGUCUCUUAUAC
This 301-nucleotide ribosomal RNA is filed under the name uncultured bacterium. RNAcentral describes it as "partial 16S ribosomal RNA". It matches the Rfam family "Bacterial small subunit ribosomal RNA", at positions 509 to 807 of the family's 1533-position model. The record is from RNAcentral.